UGGAAAGCGUGUUCACAUACUGCCUAUAGAUGACACAAUUGAAGGGGUCACUGGAAAUCUCUUUGAUGCAUACUUGAAGCCUUAUUUCCUGGAGGCAUAUCGCCCAGUCAGGAAGGGUGAUCUCUUCCUUGUGAGGGGGGGAAUGAGAAGCGUGGAGUUCAAGGUUAUUGAGACUGACCCUGCAGAGUACUGUGUGGUUGCCCCAGACACUGAGAUUUUCUGUGAGGGGGAGCCUGUGAGGAGGGAAGAUGAAAAUAGAUUGGAUGAAGUUGGCUAUGAUGAUGUUGGUGGUGUUAGAAAACAGAUGGCUCAGAUUCGGGAGUUGGUGGAGCUUCCACUGAGACAUCCACAGCUAUUCAAAUCAAUUGGUGUGAAGCCGCCAAAAGGAAUUCUACUUUAUGGACCUCCUGGUUCUGGGAAGACUCUAAUUGCCCGGGCCGUUGCCAAUGAAACUGGUGCUUUUUUCUUCUGUAUUAAUGGACCUGAGAUCAUGUCCAAAUUGGCUGGGGAGAGUGAAAGCAAUCUCAGAAAAGCUUUUGAGGAAGCAGAGAAGAAUGCACCAUCCAUUAUUUUUAUUGAUGAGAUUGAUUCAAUU
RNAcentral lists this unclassified non-coding RNA (595 nucleotides) under Hevea brasiliensis (rubber tree). Lineage: Eukaryota; Viridiplantae; Streptophyta; Magnoliopsida; Malpighiales; Euphorbiaceae. The record is from RNAcentral.